AUUGAACGCUGGCGGAAUGCUUUACACAUGCAAGUCGAACGGCAGCACGGACUUCGGUCUAGUGGCGAGUGGCGAACGGGUGAGUAAUAUAUCGGAACGUAUCCAAUAAUGGGGGAUAACUAAUCGAAAGGUUGGCUAAUACCGCAUACGUCCUACGGGAGAAAGCUAGGGACCUUCGGGCCUGGCGUUAAUGGAGCGGCCGAUAUCGGAUUAGCUAGUUGGUGAGGUAAAGGCUCACCAAGGCGACAAUCCGUAGCUGGUCUGAGAGGACGACCAGCCACACUGGAACUGAGACACGGUCCAGACUCCUACGGGAGGCAGCAGUGGGGAAUUUUGGACAAUGGGCGAAAGCCUGAUCCAGCCAUUCCGCGUGAGUGAAGAAGGCCUUCGGGUUGUAAAGCUCUUUCGCAAGAGAAGAAAACUUACCCUCUAACAUAGGGUGAGGUUGACGGUAUCUUGAUAAGAAGCACCGGCUAACUACGUGCCAGCAGCCGCCGUAA
RNAcentral lists this ribosomal RNA (500 nucleotides) under uncultured bacterium. RNAcentral's name for it is "partial 16S ribosomal RNA". It matches the Rfam family "Bacterial small subunit ribosomal RNA", at positions 30 to 523 of the family's 1533-position model. The record is from RNAcentral.